Molecule: non-coding RNA, 525 nt
Organism: Lepisosteus oculatus (spotted gar)
Lineage: Eukaryota; Metazoa; Chordata; Actinopteri; Semionotiformes; Lepisosteidae
Source: RefSeq, a predicted model, not a curated record
GAACAUUCUAGCCGUACAUGUGAAUAUAGCAUAAAUACACCAAGGGAUUGGGUGAGCUCCCAUCACAAAAAAAAACUGCGAACCUGCACUACAGUGACCACAGUACAGUAUGGAGACCAAGACCUUUUACGGGAAGAGACGGGGUGCUUCUGCCACCCCAGCUUCCAAAGAGCGAAGGCCUGUUCUUCAAGAAAACACCGCACGGGCGAAACGAUCUUCGAAAUCUACCACCAGGACAGUAAAAAGAAAGCGGUAAGACGGAAAAAAAGAAAAGUUUAUUUUGACGUCUGUUCCGCGACUGAUGAAUACUACUGUGUGACUUUAUUUCUUACAUGAAUUAUGUUAUUUUGCCACAGGCCGUGGGCCUCUGCUCUGGGCCACUGGCCAGGGUGCCAAGCUGUAGAAGCAGCACCUGUUUGGAGACAUUUCGGCAGCAGCGUGAGCAGUACGAUGCAUUACUGGGGAGGAUUGGGAGGCUAAAGACACUCCUGAAAAUGCAGAGGAAGGAGACAGUAUGUUCCAGCA